This 349-nucleotide ribosomal RNA is filed under the name uncultured bacterium. Its description in RNAcentral is "partial 16S ribosomal RNA". It matches the Rfam family "Bacterial small subunit ribosomal RNA", at positions 338 to 684 of the family's 1533-position model. The record is from RNAcentral.
CCUACGGGUGGCAGCAGUGAGGAAUAUUGGUCAAUGGGCGCGAGUCUGAACCAGCCAAGUAGCGUGAAGGAUGACUGCCCUACGGGUUGUAAACUUCUUUUAUAAAGGAAUAAAGUGAGGCACGUGUGCCUUUUUGUAUGUACUUUAUGAAUAAGGAUCGGCUAACUCCGUGCCAGCAGCCGCGGUAAUACGGAGGAUCUGAGCGUUAUCCGGAUUUAUUGGGUUUAAAGGGAGCGUAGAUGGGUUGUUAAGUCAGUUGUGAAAGUUUGCGGCUCAACCGUAAAAUUGAAAUUGAUCCUGGCAGUCUGGAUUCAAGUUGGGGUCGGCGGAAUGCGUGGUGGAGCGGGGA